RNAcentral lists this ribosomal RNA (209 nucleotides) under uncultured bacterium. RNAcentral's name for it is "partial 16S ribosomal RNA". It matches the Rfam family "Bacterial small subunit ribosomal RNA", at positions 568 to 775 of the family's 1533-position model. The record is from RNAcentral.
UCCGUAGGCGGCCAUGUGUGUCGGGUGUGAAAUCCUGCAGCUCAACUGCAGAACUGCGCCCGAAACUACAUGGCUAGAGUAUUGGAGAGGUGAGUGGAAUUCCAGGUGUAGCGGUGGAAUGCGUAGAUAUCUGGAGGAACACCAACGGCGAAGGCAGCUCACUGGACAAUUACUGACGCUGAGGGACGAAAGCGGUGGGGAGCGGAAAG